AGCAUGUGGUUUAAUUCGAAGCAACGCGAAGAACCUUACCGAGGUCUUGACAUCCCGAUGCUAUUUCUAGAGAUAGAAAGUUACUUCGGUACAUCGGUGACAGGUGGUGCAUGGUUGUCGUCAGCUCGUGUCGUGAGAUGUUGGGUUAAGUCCCGCAACGAGCGCAACCCCUAUUGUUAGUUGCCAUCAUUCAGUUGGGCACUCUAGCGAGACUGCCGGUAAUAAACCGGAGGAAGGUGGGGAUGACGUCAAAUCAUCAUGCCCCUUAUGACCUGGGCUACACACGUGCUACAAUGGUUGGUACAACGAGUUGCGAGUCGGUGACGGCGAGCUAAUCUCUUAAAGCCAAUCUCAGUUCGGAUUGUAGGCUGCAACUCGCCUACAUGAAGUCGGAAUCGCUAGUAAUCGCGGAUCAGCACGCCGCGGUGAAUACGUUCCCGGGCCUU
Molecule: ribosomal RNA, 446 nt
Filed under: uncultured Streptococcus sp.
Lineage: Bacteria; Bacillati; Bacillota; Bacilli; Lactobacillales; Streptococcaceae
Description: bacterial SSU rRNA
Rfam family: Bacterial small subunit ribosomal RNA
Source: RNAcentral